UGUAGCAAUACAAGGCAGACGGCUCAGUAACGCGUAGUCAACCUACCCUAUGGACGGGGAUAACCUCGGGAAACUGAGAAUAAUACCCGAUAGAACAUUAUACCUGGAAUGGUUUAUGUUUCAAAUAAUUUAUUGCCGUAGGAUGGGACUGCGGCCUAUCAGUUUGUUGGUGAGGUAAUGGCCCACCAAGACUAUUACAGGUACGGGCUCUGAGAGGAGUAGCCCGGAGAUGGGUACUGAGACACGGACCCAGGCCCCUAUGGGGCGCAGCAGGCGAGAAAACUUUGCAAUGUGCGAAAGCACGACAAGGUUAAUCCGAGUGGUUUCUGCUAAAGGAACCUUUUGUUAGUCAUAGAACCACUAAUGAAUAAGGGGUGGGCAAGUUCUGGUGUCAGCCGCCGCGGUAAAACCAGCACCUCAAGUGGUCAGGAUGAUUAUUGGGCCUAAAGCAUCCGUAGCCUGCUUUGUUAGUUUUCGGUUAAAUCCAUACGCUCAACGUAUGGGCUGCCGGGAAUACUGCAAAGCUAGGGAGUGGGAGAGGUAGACGGUACUCGGUAGGAAGGGGUAAAAUCCUUUGAUCUAUUGAUGACCACCUGUGGCGAAGGCGGUCUACCAGAACACGUCCGACGGUGAGGGAUGAAAGCUGGGGGAGCAAACCGGAUUAGAUACCCGGGUAGUCCCAGCUGUAAACUAUGCAAACUCGGUGAUGCAUUGGCUUGAUGCCAAUGCAGUGCCGCAGGGAAGCCGUUAAGUUUGCCGCCUGGGAAGUGCGUACGCAAGUAUGAAGCUUAAAGGAAUUGGCGGGGGAGCACCACAAGGGGU
Molecule: ribosomal RNA, 822 nt
Filed under: uncultured archaeon
Lineage: Archaea
Description: bacterial SSU rRNA
Rfam family: Archaeal small subunit ribosomal RNA
Source: RNAcentral